GACGAACCGUGCGAACGUUAUUCGGAAUCACUGGGCUUAAAGCGCGUGUAGGUGGGGCGGCACGUCCGACGCUGAAAUCCCCCGGCUUAACCGGGGAACUGGCGGGGAUACGACCGUCCUCGAGGGACGUAGGGGGACCUGGAACUUCCGGUGGAGCGGUGAAAUGCGUUGAGAUCGGAAGGAACGCCCGUGGCGAAAGCGAGGUCCUGGACGUCUACUGACACUGAGACGCGAAAGCCAGGGGAGCGAACGGG
RNAcentral lists this ribosomal RNA (254 nucleotides) under uncultured bacterium. RNAcentral describes it as "partial 16S ribosomal RNA". It matches the Rfam family "Bacterial small subunit ribosomal RNA", at positions 524 to 776 of the family's 1533-position model. The record is from RNAcentral.